This 565-nucleotide ribosomal RNA is filed under the name uncultured bacterium. Its description in RNAcentral is "bacterial SSU rRNA". It matches the Rfam family "Bacterial small subunit ribosomal RNA", at positions 338 to 916 of the family's 1533-position model. The record is from RNAcentral.
CCUCGGGAAGGCAGCAGUGGGGAAUUUUCCGCAAUGGGCGAAAGCCUGACGGAGCAAUCUCGCGUGAGGGAUGACGGCCUAUGGGUUGUAAACCUCUUUUUUCAGGGAGGAAUAAAUGACGUGUACCUGAAGAAUAAGCAUCGGCUAACUCCGUGCCAGCAGCCGCGGUAAGACGGAGGAUGCAAGUGUUAUCCGGAAUCACUGGGCGUAAAGCGUCUGUAGGUGGUUUAAUAAGUCAACUGUUAAAUCUUGAAGCUCAACUUCAAAAUCGCAGUCGAAACUAUUAGACUAGAGUAUAGUAGGGGUAAAGGGAAUUUCCAGUGGAGCGGUGAAAUGCGUAGAGAUUGGAAAGAACACCGAUGGCGAAGGCACUUUACUGGGCUAUUACUAACACUGAGAGACGAAAGCUAGGGUAGCAAAUGGGAUUAGAUACCCCAGUAGUCCUAGCCGUAAACAAUGGAUACUAGAUGUUGAACAGAUCGACCUGUGCAGUAUUAAAGCUAACGCGUUAAGUAUCCCGCCUGGGAAGUAUGCUCGCAAGAGUGAAACUCAAAGGAAUUGACGG